Molecule: long non-coding RNA, 634 nt
Organism: Etheostoma spectabile (orangethroat darter)
Lineage: Eukaryota; Metazoa; Chordata; Actinopteri; Perciformes; Percidae
Exons: 2
Source: RefSeq, a predicted model, not a curated record
GACAAUCAAAUAUCACAAUGUGUUGACCAAAUAUCUCAGUAUCGAUACCGCAACGAUAUUGUAGUGUUGACUAUUGGUGCUUUCACAAAAAUAUUCACACAAUGAGAUUUUUGAUAAAAAAUAAUCAGUAUUGUGGAUAUCAAGACUAAGUGGGUAAAGGCAAAUAAUAAAACAGUUACAACAGUCUGCCAAGUUCAGAUAAUAUCACUUUCCUGUAACGCCGCCUUUAAAACCAGGAAGACACCACUUAUGUCAUAUUACGAUAUCCAAAAUCUAAGACGAUAUCUAGUCUCAUAACACAAUAUUGAUAUAGUAUCAAUAUAUUGCCCAGCUCCACCACAGACAUGUUGUAUUGACAGCCGUUUACAAAGAAGUUGAAAGUGCCUUACCUUCACCGAUGAGUGCACAUUAUCUGUGCUUGUCAGAGGAUUUAUGAGUAUGAUUGUUAAGGGAAAUGGUACAUUAUCUAAAGACUAAAAAGCUGACAAGUUCUGAAUUAUUGAUUGUCAAAAAACAUCUGUUCUUGUCAUUAAACGGAGACAAACCAAAAAAAAAAAGCUACUUUAUCCCUGACAACAAAUGUGGCCUUGAGCUAAGCAGAUAACUCCAACUGAUCUGGGGAAGCAGUGAAGUU